UUAACUUCUGCUCUUCUUUCA
This 21-nucleotide microRNA is filed under the name Alligator mississippiensis (American alligator). Its description in RNAcentral is "ami-miR-9612-5p". The record is from miRBase by way of RNAcentral. Lineage: Eukaryota; Metazoa; Chordata; Crocodylia; Alligatoridae.